Molecule: unclassified non-coding RNA, 250 nt
Filed under: plant metagenome
Description: partial contains small subunit ribosomal RNA, internal transcribed spacer 1, and 5.8S ribosomal RNA
Source: RNAcentral
GUAGGUGAACCUGCGGAAGGAUCAUUAUUGAAUGAACUUGGCUUGGUUGUUGCUGGCUUCUUUGGAAGUAUGUGCACGCCUUGUCAUCUUUAUAUCUCCACCUGUGCACCUCUUGUAGACCUGGAUUCAACUUUCUGAGGCAACUCGGUCGUGAGGAGUUGCUUUAACGUGCUCUCCUUGAAAGUUUUCAGGCCUAUGUUUUUCAUAUACACUCUAAGAAUGUAAUAGAAUGUGAUUAUUAGACUUUUAA